Molecule: ribosomal RNA, 301 nt
Filed under: uncultured bacterium
Lineage: Bacteria
Description: partial 16S ribosomal RNA
Rfam family: Bacterial small subunit ribosomal RNA
Source: RNAcentral
CAGCCGCCACGGUAAUACGGAGGGGGCUAGCGUUGUUCGGAAUUACUGGGCGUAAAGCACACGUAGGCGGCUUGGUAAGUUAGAGGUGAAAGCCUGGAGCUCAACUCCAGAAUUGCCUUUAAGACUGCCGAGCUAGCAGGUGAGAGAGGUAAGUGGAAUUCCGAGUGUAGAGGUGAAAUUCGUAGAUAUUCGGAAGAACACCAGUGGCGAAGGCGGCUUACUGGCUCAUACUGGACGCUGAGGUGCGAGAGCGUGGGGAGCAAACAGGAUUAGAUACCCGUGUAGUCCCUGUCUCUUAUAC